GUUUCGUUUAAGUUUGAUUUGGGCCCGUAUCACUAUUAUUCGUUCAAGAUAGAAUAAAAGAGUUAUAAGAAACUAUGAAAAACAACACAAAUGAGUUCACCAUCUCGCUCCGUGCAAUUUCGAGCGCUAACGGCCAAUUCGAAUCACCCCAAGCAAUUAUACCGACAAUCGCUCCAGUCCGACAACCAAACAGCUGUCAUUCGUAGUUUGCUUCCCACAGAGCGGACCGCACACACACAUUCUCGCUCAAGCCUUAGUCAGCGGGAGGCAAAAAAGAAGUCCCGUUGGAGUGAACUGGCAAACGGCUCAUUCCGAACCGACCGCCAUCGUGAAGUGUGUUAAAAAGAACGCGCCGCGGGUGAAAAGUUUUUGGGUCCUACGGAAGUGGGAGCAACGAGAGCAUUUAAAAGGAAGGAUACCGUUUCCCAGCUCAGCAAGGGCAUUCCCGUUAAGGUGUAGAUUGCUCUCCACGUCAAAAGCACGUCCGCGAAAAGGACGCGUCGAGUCGCGCAGAACCACGUGCGAAGAUCCAUCAGGGAACCGGUUUGGUUAGGCCUGGCUGGGACCGCAGGAAGCCGUGCUCCUCAGAGCAGUAUUGCAUCAAGAAAACGGUCGGGGUUCGACGAACCGACGCUGGCUGAUUCGAACGGAGCAAGGCUCGAUCCACGAGGCGAUCACAACGAGGUUAGGAUCGGCGUCCAAAAUCAGAUCCCAUCCGAUAUCGUCGUCCGGAAGCUGUGGCCGCACAAGUAACACUUUCAGAAAGCGUACUUCCGUGAAGGAAACGGGCCUCCUCGACAGAGUUAGUUCCGUGGACUGAAUACUAGGCGGUCAAAAGUCGGCAUCCGUUGGCGGAGAUUACGCGGAGACACAAGCGCGUCCAGAAACGAGUCCUUUUGUGCUUUCCAGACAGAGCGACAGCGAUCGGAACGGCGGUGUAGGAGAGGACGUUUCUUGGAUCGGAGUCGUGACAGGGCGAAUGUUCAUCGACUAAUCACGAGAGCGGUCAGAUCUGAGACGCAAUAAUCGUCAGUUGGAACACUACACGAUCAUCGGCCGCUGCCCGCCCGGACCUAGGCGGCGAAUCGGCACGAAAUCGGUCAAUACGGUACCUUCCUGGACGAG
Long non-coding RNA from Aedes albopictus (Asian tiger mosquito), 1125 nucleotides. RefSeq lists it as uncharacterized. The record is from RefSeq and is a predicted model, not a curated record. NCBI's taxonomy places the organism in Eukaryota, Metazoa, Arthropoda, Insecta, Diptera, Culicidae. The transcript has 3 exons.